GAGAACGUGGGCUGUAUUGAUACUGUGAAUGUUUCAUUUCCAAGCUGUUUAUCCAGGUGUAUUUUUUAAUAGUGUAGGAUAUUUAUGUUAAAUGUCAUUGACACCAAACAUCAAUUAAGAUUAUACACCAAAUGCAAAACCUACUUAUUGUAAAUCACUUCAUUCCCUUUACCUUUUCCACACGUGAGAGUGGUUUGGGGGCUUUUGAUAUUGUUUUGAUGAAAUUUCUUGCAGAGUGGUGCUUUGAAAGCAAUUUCUCAUGAACACUAAUGGUAAUGUGUAUCUGUAUGUCUGGAACCAGCUGCUCAUGUCGGUUUUAAUAAGUUGCCAGUACUUCUAUUGGAUUUGUUUAAGGAUGAGCCUGUGUUAUUUCCUGAGGAAUGAAAUGGACCUUCAGGUGUGUGUCUGUUUUCAUGUAGCAUCAACAGAAGUACCCACCUCAUCAUUCUGGCUGAAAACCUGCUGUGAGGAAGAAGGUUUAGACCAAGCACUUUAUUUCAACCAGGUCUCAAGUUUAAGUCCACAAGCAUCCCUGGAUUUCUAGAGAUAACUACCUGGCCUGCUGCUGCCAGCCAAUGACAAGCUGGGUGCCUGUCC
RNAcentral lists this long non-coding RNA (597 nucleotides) under Bos taurus (domestic cattle). RNAcentral describes it as "long non-coding RNA NONBTAT001529". Lineage: Eukaryota; Metazoa; Chordata; Mammalia; Artiodactyla; Bovidae. The record is from RNAcentral.